This is a long non-coding RNA of Hemicordylus capensis (graceful crag lizard), 1518 nucleotides long. RefSeq lists it as uncharacterized. The transcript has 4 exons. Lineage: Eukaryota; Metazoa; Chordata; Lepidosauria; Squamata; Cordylidae. The record is from RefSeq and is a predicted model, not a curated record.
CACAGGCUCACUGCACAACUGCACAGAUGCUCUAUCCCUGUUACGGUUUUCCAAAACUGAGAUGAAAUGCUUAAGCUUCUGCAAAAGACAAAAAUAUCCAACAGAGAUUCUGAUGGAUUUAUUCAAGUUCAGAUUGCCACUAGAAUCAAUCAGAUUGUUGAAAUGAUGCCCCAUAGAUAGAGUUCUAUUUGAUUGGCUUCUUUCAACAGAAGAGACAGUUGGAUUUGCAAGAUUUUUUACAGUAUGAAAACCAAUCAUUUCGAGCUGCUAGUGACAAUGGAAAGCUUCACACCUGUCCUGUGUGAGAAAUCUCAAUUGAUCAAAAUCCUUGCAGCAGAUAUAACAGUGUUCCGGGAAGAACCACCAGCAGAUAUUAUCAUAGUAGAUGGGUCAGAACUGGUGAAUACCCUACUACCAUGGAAAGCAGGUACUACCUAUAAUAGCUAUGCAGAGGAUGAGUUUCUUCCUAUAGUGCAGGCAUACUGUAGAAAGUACAAAAGAUGAGAUAUUGUAUUUGAUGUGUGUGUGCUGGAGAGCUUGAAAGCAGAGAGAAGGCAUGCUCAAGUUAAAGGUCUCAGGAGAAGGGUAGCAGGAAGCAGCACAGCACUGAAAGACUGGAGAAGCUUCUUAAGAGAUUCUAGCAACAAGAAUGAGGUUUUCCACUUUUUAGCAGACAAGAUAGCAGGACUAAGCACAGACAAACAAUUAUUGUAAAAAAAGGAGAAAACAUCACAAGCAACCAAAAUAUAUGCCAAGAUAAUUUGGCUUCUUGCUCACACAAAGAGGCUGACACUUGCAUAUUUGUCCAUGCCAAAAAUACAGUAACAUUGAGUUGCAAUGAUGUUGGCAGUACCAUAUCAGUACUGCCAUUGAAGGAGCUUGGCCUUCAGACUGUGUGGGUUUCUUUUGGGAGGUAUACAAAGUGCCAAUGGAUUCUUGUCCACAAAAUCGCAGAUGCACUAGGACCUGAAAAGAAACAGUGGACUACCCUUCUCCCAUGCACUUGCUGGAUGUGAUGCAAUAUCAUCAUUUCAUGGCAAAGGCAAGAAGGCUGUGUGACAUGCAUGGAAUGUAUUUGAUGAUGUGCCCUGUGUGUUUACAAAACUGAAUCAGUGCCCAGCAGUGAUUGAAGACCAAGUUCUCAACAUCUUGGACAGGUUUGUGGUAAUCAUGUAUGACAGAGGUGGCACAGCUAUGCAUGUGAAUGAUGCAAGACUUUACUUUUUGCAAAAAAGAAAAAAAAGGGGGGGGAAACACAUUUUGAUCUUCCACCAACCAAGGAUGCCCUCAAAGUGGGCUGCAUAUCAGGCAGGAAUAGUAUGGGGCCAAACAACUUGUGCACCAAACAUAGCAAGUCCUGCUGAAUGGGGAUGGACAAAAUAGCAAGGUACAUGGACAGUUCUUUGGCCAACACUUUCCCCUCUUGCAGAAUGCUGCAAGGAGUAUACUAAAUGUUCCUGCAAAGCUGACUGCAAAGGAAGGUGUAAAUAUUUCAAAAGUGGUCUCAACUGCACUGAA